UUUUCCAAGAAUCCAAUCAGAUAUAAAUAUAACAUCAUGCACAUAAAACAGCUGCGAGCAUGCUUCAAACGUAUUUAUGAUUAGGUCAUUCAAGAGAAGAAGAAGAAGAGAGCGAACAGCGUUAGGCAAAUAAGAAAAGCAAGCCGAGUGCUAAGCUCCAAAUUAUAGCUUACAUAUAAAUUAGCUGAAAGCUUCGUCCUAAAGGGCGGCACGUGCAAUGGCGUUAGGCUAAGAAGGCGCGGCCGAAUCCUUUGCUAGUUGAGGCAUAGCUCACAAUUUAACGAUGAAUCUGGCAUUGCGGCGUCAAGAGAAAGGCGAACAUCAACGUGACUGUCGUCCUGCCAAUGAAUGUACAACAGCAGCGAGGUUAUCAAAAGGCAACCGGCUGGUGCCCUAAGAAAACCUUCGGAAGGGGCAGUGAUGUUGGGAGCUUUCAUGUAAAUAGAGGAGAUUUAUACAUAAUUAUUAUUAGACCAAUAAAUAUAGCAAACAAAUAGACAACAGCGGCAGCAACAAAAGCGGCAAAAGCAACAACCAAAUGGCGAGUAACAAAUUGCAGUUGAAUACAAAACUUGGCCUAUUAAGUUUCGUAAUUUAUCCCUAUUUCAGCAAAUAAGAGAAGAACGAGUGAAGCAGGAAAGCAGUGCAGGAUAUGAGAGGAAAAUAUUCAAGAAUGGUGCGUCCACAAAGCUCUUCAUUUGUUUCAUGUUUAAAUGAGAAAGGAACGAAAGUUGAGUUGAGCUUGGAGUCUCAUCUUAGGGCUUUUGUUGCAUGCAUUUGUGUGUACAUUCAGCCGGUGACGCUACCCAGCAAACACAAAACCGCAUACUUUGCAAUGACCAUUGAGAUGCCCAGACUUCUCGUGAGUUGGUCUUCAAAACUGGUUAGCAUUUCAGUCACUCUUAUUCCGUGAGCAUAUUGCUCAGAAUAUUUGAUAAAUUGUUUGGCUUAUUUCAUAGUCUACAAAUAUCAUUGCUUUAAAUCAUUAAAUCAUUGACUUAACAAAUUGAACUUGAAAUCUUUAUGACGUAUUUUGGCGAGAAAUCGUUUGUGCACCAGACUUUGCCUUGGUGAAUCGCGACAUAUUAUUGAUGUUAAAUUCGUCUCGAAAUGGUUUGCUGGAGGAACCUGUCGUGCACUCGAAGGGCUUUAGAAAUACGGCUGUUCCGCUGACCGCACACGUACAUACACAUAUUGAUCUUUAUACUAGUAGAUAUGUACCUAAAAAGAGGCAGUCAACUGUAACUAUUCCAAACUGUUUGCCGUUGCAAGCGAGAUUUGUCCUAAACACCAGAUUAAAUGGCAUACAAAUAUUCAUACAUACUCGUAUGUACACACACACAUAUUUAUUCUUUACCAUUUUCUCUUUUCGGUAUUUCAAUGCGUUUGCUACAACAACAAUCGGCAUAUAAAAAUUACUACGAAUAAUUUUUCAUCGAGGCGCGAGCUACCAAUUUCAGCCACCACCCCAUCGGAAUCUACCUUUGUGUACACACAAAUAUAUGCGCAUACAUCUGCUCUAUAUCACACCUUCCAUCAUUCACUUCGUUGGGUUUUGUCGCCAAGCGCAAGCCCCAAGCCACGGACCACCUGCCGGCGCCUCAUUUCAACUAAUUACGGUGUUUAUGCUGUCGUUGUGGUCGUGCGCACAUCAACCGCAUUUUCAUGACACAUAAAACAGUGUCGAAAACAACAACAGCAACAACAAACAUAGCCAUAACAAUAACAUAACGGCAUAACAACAAUCAGCAACCAGGCAAAGUAACUGCGAAUGUCAAACGAGAACAAUUCAAGACGCGCCACAUGGCGGCAACCCUUUCACAACUGCUUAUAAUGUUGCAUACUUUUGGGUGACUGCUCUUCGAGUUCAGGCACGCCCCCUGCGGCUCCAGCUGCGGAAUUCAGCUGUUUGAACAUAAACGGAACUUGCCACUUGCCACAUUCCGCACGCACUCGCCGACCCUCAGCCGCUGUUUGUGUGUAAAACACUAUCCAAGACGUUUGCCAUCGGUGAAGAAGAAAGAUAAGGACUGAGUCCACAUCACACUCAUGCAACAUCCUUGGCAACGCAACGUGGCGGGCAGGUGUUCAUACUUUAAAGGGAAACUUUUUCAGAAGCGUUUGCGUAAAAGUUAUUUGGAUAAUGGCUUGGCACUUUGGGAAAACAGUGAGCCUGCGAGUAACUGGCAAACAGGGCCUCAGAAAGCGGAUAAGCAACUGAAAUGUGUUGCAGAGUCUGUUGUGCGGCGCGUAAGACCAACAAUGCAAAGAAGUUGCGGGGAGAAGACCCAAAAGUUGUGCGUAGAUUUCCAAAGAAUUAUGACCGGACGAAGUUGCGCCAAAUAGCAGGCAAACAACAGCAAUAAAACAAUAAACGUUUUCGGGCGAAGAGUAGUGAAAGUAAAAUUAAAAGUAAGCAUUUUCAAAGAACAAAAAAGCUCAGACGCCAAGCUCACUCUAGCUGGUUGCGGGGUUGUGGGACAGGAGAGACACAUUGAAAAAUGCGAAUAAUCAGAUUUAAGACAAAGUAUUUAAAGGUCCAUAAAUACAAUUACGAACUUAUGAAUAGCGAAAAUGUUGUUUAAUACAAUAAAUUUUGAGUUUUCUAAACUCACUGCGAAUAACAUGAGCCCCACAAAAUGCACAGGCCCAACAUUGUACUGAGCAGAAGUCGAUCCAGCUUUGGUCAA
This 2690-nucleotide long non-coding RNA is filed under the name Ceratitis capitata (Mediterranean fruit fly). RNAcentral describes it as "uncharacterized LOC110118471, transcript variant X1". Lineage: Eukaryota; Metazoa; Arthropoda; Insecta; Diptera; Tephritidae. The record is from RNAcentral.